This 204-nucleotide long non-coding RNA is filed under the name Helianthus annuus (common sunflower). Its description in RNAcentral is "sRNA HanXRQr2_Chr12g0554841". Lineage: Eukaryota; Viridiplantae; Streptophyta; Magnoliopsida; Asterales; Asteraceae. The record is from RNAcentral.
AUGUACUUUGCUUGGUUGUUGUUCAAGACUUCUAAGCACCCUCAAGUACAAUAGUUGAUGAUAUUUGAUGAUGAUAUUGGUGUAUGCUCACAUAGGAAUGGACGAGGCCUUAGUGACUUAAUAACAACGAAAGACUAUUUGUUUAUGUUUUGUUUCAAUUUCUAAUGUAAUGUAAUACAUUUGAUUUAAUAAAACGAAAUUAUU